UCUGUUCAACUCAACUUUUAUUAGUUUUCUCCAGAGUGUUCAUGCGGUUCCCUCCAGUUGGUGGUGAGAGGCGCGGGAGCAGGGAACCGACCGGCUCCUAUUUCCCCAUGAACCCUGGCCGGGUCAAGUGCAGCCACAGAUGAAGUCUUCUACCUCGAUAAGCAGGGCAGGAAGACUUCCUACAAAACCCUGCUGGCUCAUAACCAUGUCUCUCUUCUUCUCUUGAGGGGACCCAUACCUCAGUCUUCCUCUCUGGGUCCGUAUAUCUUUACACACUAAGGCAUCUAACGCGCACACACACUCUCAAAAAUCCUGGCUUCUAAGGAGCCACUCCAACCUUGUAAGACCUUUCCAGUGUGAUGGAAAAGACUGUCACUUGGACUCUCUGGGUCCCUUCUAAAUUAAACCUCAGUUUCACGGGUGAUUUACGAUAUCACAGAUAUACUUCCUAGAGAACCUACAAACCCCUUUCUUAGAAAGCCAACACCCAAAAUUGCAGCUUUAAUCCCAAUUAGCGAGCCCUGCCUCCCCUCCACCAUGUGC
RNAcentral lists this long non-coding RNA (543 nucleotides) under Bos taurus (domestic cattle). RNAcentral describes it as "long non-coding RNA NONBTAT025964". Lineage: Eukaryota; Metazoa; Chordata; Mammalia; Artiodactyla; Bovidae. The record is from RNAcentral.